Molecule: ribosomal RNA, 301 nt
Filed under: uncultured bacterium
Lineage: Bacteria
Description: partial 16S ribosomal RNA
Rfam family: Bacterial small subunit ribosomal RNA
Source: RNAcentral
CAGCCGCCACGGGAAUACGAAGGGGGCUAGCGUUGUUCGGAAUUACUGGGCGUAAAGCGCACGUAGGCGGAUAUUUAAGUCAGGGGUGAAAUCCCGCAGCUCAACUGCGGAACUGCCUUUGAUACUGGGUAUCUUGAGUAUGGAAGAGGUUAGUGGAAUUGCGAGUGUAGAGGUGAAAUUCGUAGAUAUUCGCAGGAACACCAGUGGCGAAGGCGGCUAACUGGUCCAUAACUGACGCUGAGGUGCGAAAGCGUGGGGAGCAAACAGGAUUAGAUACCCCUGUAGUCCCUGUCUCUUAUAC